Long non-coding RNA from Sebastes umbrosus (honeycomb rockfish), 858 nucleotides. RefSeq lists it as uncharacterized. The transcript has 3 exons. Lineage: Eukaryota; Metazoa; Chordata; Actinopteri; Perciformes; Sebastidae. The record is from RefSeq and is a predicted model, not a curated record.
ACUCUCUCAGCUCUGAUCUCAUACGUCACUGAUUAAUCUGCUGGUUUUCAUAAUGAAAAGAACUGAAACACCAACUAAUAGUUCCACUAUUUUUCUCUAAAGUUUAUUUAUUUAUUGUUCUUUCUUGCAGGAAUGUAAACUCUGACCUGGAAGCAGUUCAGUAACACCACAGUCCUCCUCACCUGCCCCUCAGAUUUUCAGUUUAUUCCGUCAACGGGAGAAAAACAGGAGUUUACCGUAACUCAGCGUGGUGAAGCUGUGGAGGCCACGCCGGACCGUGAUAGGCUGAGACGGAUGUCCAUCAGACAAACACGCCCUUCUGUAAAGAUUCUAUUAUAAAACGAUAACUGACUGGACGGUUGGAGAUGAAGCGGUUCUGGUCGCUAUUAGCAGUCCUGAAGAAGAAGAUUUCUGGCAGGUGAUUGUGGAUUUAUGAAGGAAUGUGAGAGCGUGUCGUGACCUUUGACCCCUCAGCUGUUCCCUCAGGGGUUAAAACACUGAGCAGGGCAGCUGGGAUCAUCACACAUCCUGUCCAUCUGAACGUCGACCCAGAACCAGCAGCGCUGAGGCAGAUAUGGAUUCACCUGCUGAGGAAAACAUGCAUUCAGACAGCCGGCCUCUCCUGUUGUCUCCUCUCAUUUAUUCAUGUGUUUUGUGGGCAGUAGAGUGAAACUGUGGUCCGGUGGAUGAGUGGCCCGGCUCAUGAAAUAUUCACCCCGACAGUAAACACUCCCAGGACGGCGCGCAGGAGGAAAACAUGGGGAUGAAGUGAAACCAGGAAAAAACGGAUCCUGUUUCUCCAGGAAGUUUAAAGGAAAAACAACUUAAAUUCCCUUCACAAUAAAACCUGCUUGUAAA